CCAAGGCAGAAGAACGGUAAGGGCUAGGCAAUGGGGGUCAAGUGACUUGUCCAGGGUCACACAGCUAGGAAGUGUCUGAGGCCAGAUUUGAACCCAGGACCUCCCCUCUCUAGGUCUGACUCUCAAAUCCAUUGAGCUACCUCCGAUGCCCCCAAUGGGAGAGUUUUUAAAGCCCCAUCACAUUCCUGGAGGCCAAGUUAAAUGGGUCAAGCUGGAGAAAAUUGACAUCCAGGUUGGGACAGAGUUCUUUCAGAUAGAGUGAGAUGAUGAAAAUAGACAACAGCUGACCUGAGCUUGGGAGGAAAUCUGGGGAUUGGAUGAGACUGAAGAGAAGAGAAGGCUAGGCAUGGAAGACAGAGUCAGCAAAAGCACAGAGGCUGGAGAUGGUCCCUUUUGGCCCCCAUCACAAAAAAAGGGCAAGAUCCGAGUAAAUGGCCAAAUUUCUAAUUUUUUAAAGUAGAGGAUAAAAUACUCAAUUCAUCGGAAAACUAUCUGGGUGACGGACACAAGAUCUCACAGCGAAUAUAUGUUGGAGUCAGGAGCCCCAAGUUCAAAUCUUCAAUCCAAGUCAUGAUGCUUUCAACUACCCUUGAAUGCCUGAAUCUUGGCUCUACCAUUUACUAUUUGUAUGGCGGGAUGGAGAUGUGCUCAAAGCCUCAAGUCACAGAAGCCAGUAAGAGAAGAUUCAAGAGGGGAAGGAAUGGAAGAAAAAGCAAUGAGAUGAGAUUAGCCCAGGGAGGAGGAUCCUUCUGAGUUCGAGGGACCUUAGAGGCCAUCUCAUCCAACCCUCUCAUUCAACAGCUGGGCUGCUGAGACCCAGGAAAAUCUAGAAUGGUUGUUAAGUGGCAAAGGCAAGAUUUGAACCCCUAUCCUCGGGCUCUACAGCCAGUAGGCUUCCACUGUAUUAAAUGCUGUUUCCUAGACGUUUUCCCCUUGGAGAAUGCUAUUAUUCUCCCUGGGUAGAAGGCUAGAGUCUGAAAUGUGACAAUAACUAUGAAAGUGGCAACGGAGACUCAGAUAUUUAAGUUUUUCUUUUGUUUAGUCAUUUCAGUCACAUCCAACUCUUUGUGACCCUAUUUUGAGGUUUUCUUGGCAUAGAUACUAGAGUGGUUUGCCAUUUCCUACUCCAGCUCAUUUUUACAGAUCAGGAAGCUGAGUCAAACAGGGUUAAGUGACUUGCCCAGGGUCCUACAGUUAGGAAGUGUCUAAAGUCAGAUGAGAACACAGAUUCUUCCAACUCCAGGCCUGACUCUCUAUCCACUGUGCCAUCUCAAUGCCUUCUCGAUGUUCUUUAAACAGACUACACUGAUAAUGAGAAAUACUGAACUAAAAAACUUUAGUUACCAGUUUCUUCUCUCACCAGACCCUUCACUUUGAAGCUUGCUGACCUCAGGAGUUGAAUCUCCUUUGCCUUCUUCCUAUUUCGAGGUAUAGACAGACACAAGUCCUUCAUUGGUGAAGCUUUUAAUUUAAUUUGUUUAAUUUAUAAUUAGCAGAAGGUGGGUGGCAAUUUCCGAUUCUGCCACUUAAUUUCCAUAUAACCUUGGACAAGUUGGCUAUCCUCUCUGGGCCUCAGUUAUCCUUUUCCAUAGAAUGAGCUAAUAAUUUUUGUCCCACCUACUCCAUUAGAAGAAAAGGACAAAACUGAAAGUUCUUAGAAUACCAAGAAUAAGAAUAAGCAUUUUUAUCUAAGCAACCUUCUGUUAAAUGAUCGAAAUUACAACCACUGACUGGGUUGCACCCUUGAAGAUAACCAGACCAGCUAAGGGGGAGUUCUAAAAGCGAUGUAUUCCUCAGGCAAAGCUUUCACUGGCUCUGGCCAUCUCUGGAUCAUGCUCUAAUAAAGCCAGUGUGUUCCCUUAGAGGGGCCA
RNAcentral lists this long non-coding RNA (1871 nucleotides) under Monodelphis domestica (gray short-tailed opossum). RNAcentral's name for it is "lncRNA (ENSMODG00000040308.1)". Lineage: Eukaryota; Metazoa; Chordata; Mammalia; Didelphimorphia; Didelphidae. The record is from RNAcentral.